UGCCUACGGGGGGCAGCAGUGGGGAAUAUUGCACAAUGGGGGAAACCCUGAUGCAGCGACGCCGCGUGAGUGAAGAAGUAUUUCGGUAUGUAAAGCUCUAUCAGCAGGGAAGAAAAUGACGGUACCUGACCAAGAAGCCCCGGCUAACUACGUGCCAGCAGCCGCGGUAAUACGUAGGGGGCAAGCGUUAUCCGGAUUUACUGGGUGUAAAGGGCGUGUAGGCGGGCCUGUAAGUCAGAAGUGAAAUCUGGGGGCUUAACCCCCAAACUGCUUUUGAAACUGCGGGCCUUGGGUGUUG
RNAcentral lists this ribosomal RNA (298 nucleotides) under uncultured bacterium. RNAcentral's name for it is "partial 16S ribosomal RNA". It matches the Rfam family "Bacterial small subunit ribosomal RNA", at positions 335 to 651 of the family's 1533-position model. The record is from RNAcentral.